UCUCUCUGCAGGUUACACCACCCCCAACCUGGACCCCAUCCAAUAGGCUCGUGGUCCCUGAUGGUCCUGGACCACUGAUUUGAGGCCUUUCUGCUUCCUUUGAUUCAGUCUUUGGCAGAGACCCAGGAGCAGGAGUCCUUGAUGGCACCUGGCCCUUUCUAGUCACCGACAAGGGAAACCUGAGAAACCAUUCUCAGAAAUGGAACUAAAUUGACACAGCAUUUGUCUCCUCCAGAGGAUACAGCACCAAGGCGCCAUCUUGGAAGUAGACUGGAGCUCUUAGCAGACCAGAACCUGUGGGGUUUCACACCUGAGCAGCAUCGAAGGGGCCACUGAAGUGGAGCAGAGGAAUCGUUUGAGGAGAAUCUCAAAGAGGACUCACCUGCUUUUGUAGAAUUUAUGCCACGAGAUUAAAUGCUCAGAUGAUAAUAUUUCACAAGUUACAUGUUUGCUUAUGGAAUAUUUUUCUCCUAGUGAAAAUAUGAUU
This 487-nucleotide long non-coding RNA is filed under the name Homo sapiens (human). RNAcentral describes it as "HSALNT0360449". The record is from RNAcentral. Lineage: Eukaryota; Metazoa; Chordata; Mammalia; Primates; Hominidae.